CCUCCCAAAAAAUUAAAUAUGUCAAAAUCAGGAUAACGAGAAAAUAAAUACAAAAUUGAACAAAUAUUUUUAAAGAGAAUGUUUAAUGCAUAUGCAACUAUUUUGUUAUAAUAUGUAUUAUAUAGCAUAUGUAUUGUUGACACAGCAAUAUUUUUCAAUAAACCUCUCUUAGAAUCGUUUUUUCGAUAUCAAUGGUUUUCAAUGCUUACAGAUUUACAUUACAUUUCUGAAUUUUACAUUCCUAAUUUUCCACCUACAACAACAGUGGCUGCAAACACAUGCAAAGUAAUUUAAUUGAAGACAGUUAAAUGAAACUCUUAUAUUUUGCACUUAAUCUUAAUAAUAGUGGUGGUACUAAUGAUGGGAGUGGCCUCCGUUAUAAGUGAAAAUUUAGGUACAUAUAAUACACAGGGUGAUUUUAUUUCGACAAAGAAUGGUAUAUCUUUUCUUACAGAUAUAUCAUUGUUUGAUGAAAGACUCUUCUGAGUGAAGUUGAUACCGUUUGAAAGUAAAUCAUAAAGGCCACGAAAAGGCUUUAUUGUUAUUUUUCGUAUUUAAGCCUUUUUUUCCGUUAAAAAACUCUAUCCUAAAGUAAAAUUCCUUAGAAGCUCAAAAGUGGCUCAAAAAUCUGGUGUUGAUACCGAUUGAAAGUAAAUCGAAAAAACCACAAAAGAGUUAUAUUGUGAUUUUUCGAUUAAUACAUGGACGACCUAUUUU
Molecule: non-coding RNA, 717 nt
Organism: Cinara cedri
Lineage: Eukaryota; Metazoa; Arthropoda; Insecta; Hemiptera; Aphididae
Source: the annotation of a GenBank genome assembly